Molecule: RNA transcript, 2179 nt
Organism: Girardinichthys multiradiatus
Lineage: Eukaryota; Metazoa; Chordata; Actinopteri; Cyprinodontiformes; Goodeidae
Exons: 4
Source: RefSeq, a predicted model, not a curated record
UCAGAAAAGCAUUGAAUGUUGCAGCUUCCUGGAAUAACAAAGUCGAGUUUUUCCUGUCUGAUGGUGGCGUAUUCUGGGCUUUUGUGUCAUUCUAUUUGGAGAAAAUGGGUCAACUCUCUUUGUCUUAUGUGAGCAGUGAGACAGAAGGAAUAUGGAGCUGACCCCUUAAUCAGAUGAAGUCUUUCGGCAAAUCCUUCUUGAUACUGGUGGAGGUUGCUGAAGGCACUCGUCCUUGAAGUGCUUCAUGCAAACAAAGAGUGACCCAUACGUUGAACCACAGAAGCAGAGUGAAGGUGAAUAUAGCCCAUGCUGACCUUCUCCUACUUGUGGGUGUGACCGCAGGUGCUGCAGCGCAGCUGUUGCUCAUCAGCGAGCAAUCAACCUCAUCCAGAAGGAGGCGUCAGCUCUUUGUCUUACAAAGUGUGGUAAACAGCUCGACCUCUGCUGCAGACAUCGGCCGGGUGAGACUACGUCGAAGAAGAACGGUUUUGGUGCGGCGCGGGAAAAACAAAAAUAGAAAUAUAUCGGAUUCGGAAAAGGUGGAUUUGGGCAUAAACUGGUAUGUGAAUGGUUCGGUUGGAAAUGGAGACAGGAAAUGAGGAAGACAUGGAUUUUGAAGGGUGGACGCCAGCUGGGAGAGGAAGAGGGAAAGGACGUGGAAGAAAUAAAAUAGAUGAAGGAAAGGGAAUUGGUGAUAUCCAAGGUAGCAAGCGAGAAUUGGAAGGAAGCAGUUCAGAAGAAGAAAGGAUAGUUAGGAGAAAAGUUAUGAGGGAGGAAUUUAAAAUAAUAUUAAAACUUAAGAACGAGGAAGAACAGGAUAACAUCAGCCCCAUUGUGGUGUCAAGAGAGAUUAAAAAGAAAAUUGGAGAUGUUGAAAUGGUAAAGAUUUUGAGAGAUGGAAACUUAUUGGUAGUUUGUAAAAAUGAAGAACAAAAGAACAAGGCUUUAAAGGUGGAUAAUAUCUGCAAGAAAACGGUGUUGGAGAAAAAAAUCAUGGGAGAAAAUAAAAAAAUUAGAGGAGUGAUUUAUGGUAUCCCUCUAGAUGAAGAUCUUGAUAAAAUUAAGAGAAGUAUUAUUGGUGCAAAAGUGAAUAACUUGAAGAGAUUGUCAAAAACAAUAAAUGGAGAAAAAGUAGGAAGUAUGUCAAUCUUCAUUGAAUUUGACGAAAAAGAGUUGCCACAAAACAUCAAAAUAGGUUAUCUCAGCUUUCAGGUUAGACCUUAUAUCCCUCCGCCACUUCGUUGUUUCAAAUGUCAAAGGUAUGGACACAUAGCAGCAGUUUGUAAAGGGAAGCAGAGAUGUCCAAAAUGUGGUGAAGAUCACAAGUUUGAAGAAUGUAAAGAAGAAGUACAAGGAAAAAUGUUGUAACUGUGGAGGGCAACAUAGAGUUACGUAUGGAGGAUGUGAAGUAAGGAAGAAGGCAAAAGAAAUCAUACAGAUUAAAAUGACUAAAAACAUAAGCUAUGCAGAAGCAGUUAAAAAUGUGAAGGAACAGAAAACAAGAAAGAUUGAACAAAUAGCGAAUCAAAUUCCACAGCAAAGCAAAGUACAGUCAGAAGAAAAUGUUACAAUAUCAGUAGAAAAACUAAUAUUAUUCGUAGCCUAUGUUAUCAACUGUACUGACCAAGCCAAGCAUAAAACUGAGAAGAUUAAAAUAAUAGUGAGAGGAGCUGAAAAGUUUUUGGGGUUUAAGGAGGGAUCGUGGGAGAACAUAAAUAAAAAGUUGGAGGUAGAUGGGAGACAAGGAACAUCUGGUGAAAGUAGUGCAUGUUAAUAUUACAAUGGAAGGCAAGAAGUUUAAUUGCUAACGGACAAGAACUUAAAGGUUAUAUUGAUAGUCUUGAAGAACAACCAGAAAUGAUUUGUGUUCAGGAAACAUGGUUGAAAACAACAUUGGAUUUUGUGAUAAAAGGAUAUGAUGGUGUAAGAAGAGAUCGACAGGAGAGAAGUGGAGGAGGAUGUGGAAUAUUUAUUAAGCAAGAGAUACAAUAUCAGGUAUUAGGAAAAGGGAAAGAACUUGAAUAUAUAGUAAUUGAGAUAUGGGAACAAGAAGAUAAAUUUAAAAUAAUACAUUUUUAUAAUCCAUGUAAAACAUUGUCAAUUGAAAUAAUGGAGGAGUUAAAUGAAUAUUUGGAAGGGAAAGUAAUUUGGUGUGGAGAUUUUAAUGCAAAUAGUACAU